Long non-coding RNA from Anneissia japonica, 846 nucleotides. RefSeq lists it as uncharacterized. The transcript is spliced from 3 exons. Lineage: Eukaryota; Metazoa; Echinodermata; Crinoidea; Comatulida; Comatulidae. The record is from RefSeq and is a predicted model, not a curated record.
GGAAAGUGGCUGUGGUUCGGCAGAAUAUAAAGCUGAAUGCAACCGACUCUGCAGCGGAGAUAGUCGACAGGUUCCUGUGUUACGAUAUUGAUGUUAGCCAAAUUGCGUUGCAUCCGACGUUGCCAAAACCGGCAUGCCUUUGCUUGAUAAGCAAAUCAAAGGGGAAGCUACAGUGUAUCAAGACCAAAAUGCCCGAUAACUUAGGUUUGAGGUCCACAACCAGCACAUUGUGCAAGCGUUUCUUCGGGGGAUGCUACAUACUGUUUUCAACAAUGCUUCACAUGCUUUCAAGAUCCAGUCUGGUUUCUCGAUGGUACCUUUAAGUUAGUCAAGGAACCGUUUCUAUCAGCUGUUCCGUGUACACAGCCUUAUCAGGUCAGGCAACUCCUGCAAGCAUGUUCUAUUGGUAUUCGCCAUGAUUUCUUGCAAGAGAGGUGUGGACUGUAUUAUGCUUGUUAAUACGGAUGUUGCCUGUCUUUAAUUUAGAAGUCAUGUCAAUGUGCCGAACUUCAAAGUCUCUCGAUGUCUUUUCCAUUUCACACAGGCAAUCUUCAGAAAGGUCUAGGAGUUUGGCCUGCAACGAAGAACUUCAUCUGCCAACUGAUGUCGCUGCCUGUUCUUCCUGUAGAGCACAUUUUUUUUGUUGCAUGAAACAGUCAGCAGCAGCAGCGAUGGAUGAGAUGAUGUUGUACUUGCAGUCCUAUUGGAUUGAUGGAGAUAUUUUCAGUACUGUAGACUGGAUCGUGGUUUCGAGUCUCCGCUGUGCAGAUUCGCUUGUGUCCUUGGGCAAGGCACUUUAGCUACAUUGCUUCAGUCCACCCAGGUGUAUCAAUGGGUACCAGCAAA